UACGUAGGUGGCGAGCGUUGUCCGGAUUUACUGGGCGUAAAGGGCGCGCAGGCGGCGGUGCUGGCCCGGCGUGAAAGCCCCCGGCUCAACCGGGGAGGGUCGUCGGGGACCGCACCGCUUGAGGGCGGUAGGGGCUGGUGGAAUGCCUGGUGUAGUGGUGAAAUGCGUAGAGAUCAGGCAGAACACCCGUGGCGAAGGCGGCCAGCUGGGCCGACCCUGACGCUGAGGCGCGAAAGCUAGGGGAGCAAACGGG
This 253-nucleotide ribosomal RNA is filed under the name uncultured bacterium. Its description in RNAcentral is "partial 16S ribosomal RNA". It matches the Rfam family "Bacterial small subunit ribosomal RNA", at positions 524 to 776 of the family's 1533-position model. The record is from RNAcentral.